AACAUCGCGCACCUGCGGGAACCUGCGGAAGGAUCAUUAUCGAGUUGCAAAACUCCCUAAACCAUUGUGAACCUACCUGUACCGUUCCUUCGGCGGGCGGCGUCAAGCCCUAACCCGGUCCCCUUUACGGGGGAUGGACCCGCCGGAGGCUCCUAAACUCUUAAUUUUAGUUGGCAUCUCUGAGUAAAUCAAAAUAAGUCAAAACUUUCAGCAACGGAUCU
Molecule: unclassified non-coding RNA, 221 nt
Filed under: soil metagenome
Description: partial contains 5.8S ribosomal RNA, internal transcribed spacer 2, and large subunit ribosomal RNA
Source: RNAcentral